This 460-nucleotide ribosomal RNA is filed under the name uncultured bacterium. RNAcentral's name for it is "partial 16S ribosomal RNA". It matches the Rfam family "Bacterial small subunit ribosomal RNA", at positions 338 to 795 of the family's 1533-position model. The record is from RNAcentral.
CCUACGGGAGGCAGCAGUGAGGAAUAUUGGUCAAUGGGCGGGAGCCUGAACCAGCCAAGUCGCGUGAGGGAAGACGGUCCUAUGGAUUGUAAACCUCUUUAGGCGGGGAGCAAGGCCGGGCACGCGUGCCCGGAGGGAGAGGACCCGCAGAAGAAGCAGCGGCUAACUCCGUGCCAGCAGCCGCGGUAAUACGGAGGAGGCGAGCGUUAGCCGGAUGGCUGGGGUUUAAGGGGGGCGUAGGCGGAUUUUUAAGUCCGCGGUAAAAGGUCCGGGCUCAACCCGGGCCGGCCGUUGAAACUGGUGAUCUUGAGUGGGCGAGACGUAUGCGGAAUGCGUGGUGUAGCGGUGACAUGCAUCGAUCUCCCGCAGAACUCCGAUUGCGAAGGCAGCAUACCGGCGCCCGCCUGCCGCUGAGGCACGAAAGCGUGGGGAUCGAACAGGAUUAGCUACCCUUGUAGUC